This 406-nucleotide ribosomal RNA is filed under the name uncultured bacterium. RNAcentral describes it as "partial 16S ribosomal RNA". It matches the Rfam family "Bacterial small subunit ribosomal RNA", at positions 30 to 526 of the family's 1533-position model. The record is from RNAcentral.
AUUGAACGCUGGCGGCAGGCCUAACACAUGCAAGUCGAACGAGUGGCGGACGGGUGAGUAAUGUCUGGGAAACUGCCUGAUGGAGGGGGAUAACUACUGGAAACGGUAGCUAAUACCGCAUACCAUCGGAUGUGCCCAGAUGGGAUUAGCUAGUAGGUGGGGUAAAGUCUCACCUAGGCGACGAUGCCUAGCUGUUCUGAGAGGAUGACCAGCCACUGUGGAACUGGGACACGGUCCACACUCCUACGGGAGUCAGCAGUGGGGAAUAUUGCACAAGGGGCGGAAGCCUGAUGCAGCCAAGCCGGGUGUAUGAAGAAGGCCUUCGGCUGGUAAAGUACUUUCAGCGUGGAGGCGUUACCUGCAGAAGAAGCACCGGCUAACUCCGUGCCAGCAGCCGCGGUAAUUC